UCGACAAUCCUGAAAGCCCUUAUUCAUUGGAUAUCCAUGUUGAUCUAACGUUGUCUCUACUUUUAUCAGGACUUUAUUGGACUUAGUCUCUUACCUUGAGAGUUGAAAUACUUUGGACUAGACUUCUUCUUCGAGCCGCACAAGACACUGCACUUCUUCAAAGUAUGAUUCCUUCCUUCUCUCUUCCCUUCAGCCUUUA
RNAcentral lists this long non-coding RNA (199 nucleotides) under Capsella rubella. Its description in RNAcentral is "long non-coding RNA (CRUB_LNC002592)". Lineage: Eukaryota; Viridiplantae; Streptophyta; Magnoliopsida; Brassicales; Brassicaceae. The record is from RNAcentral.